GCAACUCACCAAUUGGGAGAUCCACUUAAGAAUAAUGGCCUAGAAUUGAAGAAUAUAUAUGUAUCUCCUGGUGAUUUGGCUGACCCCCAACCCCUGACUGAUGAGGUGGAAGUUUGGGCAGGCAGCCUCGUCUCCACUCUGGAAAGGGUUGACUGGCUGUGCAGAACAGCAGAUGCAAGAAAAAUAACCCAGUAGGCUCAGCUAUCUCUUCAUGAGAAGAAAAAUGCCAGAACAGGAACAAGAAAUCAAAGAGAAUUCCACCAGCCACAACGAAUGGUGGUCCUUGGACAUCGAAUAAACCUCAAGGCAGGAGAGAGAGAGACCACAUCACAGCCUUCUUGAACACUAGCCAGCACUUCAGUACCAGGCUUGGGGCACCAACGAAAAGAACAAGAAUGGGAAAAAUGUGGCACUAAAUAGAACAUGAAAAGGAUACUUGUUUACAAUAUAAGAGCUGAAACAAGAAGCCUUGU
This is a long non-coding RNA of Canis lupus familiaris (dog), 473 nucleotides long. RefSeq lists it as uncharacterized. The record is from RefSeq and is a predicted model, not a curated record. Lineage: Eukaryota; Metazoa; Chordata; Mammalia; Carnivora; Canidae. The transcript has 3 exons.